CGGACGGGUGAGUAAUGUCUGGGAAACUGCUGAUGGAGGGGGAUAACUACUGGAAACGGUAGCUAAUACCGCAUAACGUCGCAAGACCAAAGAGGGGGACCUUCGGGCCUCUUGCCAUCGGAUGUGCCCAGAUGGGAUUAGCUAGUAGGUGGGGUAACGGCUCACCUAGGCGACGAUCCCUAGCUGGUCUGAGAGGAUGACCAGCCACACUGGAACUGAGACACGGUCCAG
Molecule: ribosomal RNA, 231 nt
Filed under: uncultured bacterium
Lineage: Bacteria
Description: partial 16S ribosomal RNA
Rfam family: Bacterial small subunit ribosomal RNA
Source: RNAcentral